Molecule: ribosomal RNA, 465 nt
Filed under: uncultured bacterium
Lineage: Bacteria
Description: partial 16S ribosomal RNA
Rfam family: Bacterial small subunit ribosomal RNA
Source: RNAcentral
GACGAACGCUGGCGGCGUGCUUAACACAUGCAAGUCGAACGGAAAGGCCCUGCUUGCAGGGUACUCGAGUGGCGAACGGGUGAGUAACACGUGGGUGAUCUGCCCUGCACUUCGGGAUAAGCCUGGGAAACUGGGUCUAAUACCGGAUAGGAGCCAUUUUUAGUGUGAUGGUUGGAAAGUUUUUUCGGUGUAGGAUGAGCUCGCGGCCUAUCAGCUUGUUGGUGGGGUAAUGGCCUACCAAGGCGGCGACGGGUAGCCGGCCUGAGAGGGUGGACGGCCACACUGGGACUGGGAUACGGCCCAGACUCCUACGGGAGGCAGCAGUGGGGAAUAUUGCACAAUGGGCGCAAGCCUGAUGCAGCGACGCCGCGUGGGGGAUGACGGACUUCGGGUUGUAAACUCCGUUCGCUAGGGACGAAGCUUUUUGUGACGGUACCUAGAUAAGAAGCACCGGCUAACUACGUG